This 583-nucleotide ribosomal RNA is filed under the name uncultured bacterium. Its description in RNAcentral is "partial 16S ribosomal RNA". It matches the Rfam family "Bacterial small subunit ribosomal RNA", at positions 355 to 937 of the family's 1533-position model. The record is from RNAcentral.
UGGGGAAUUUUGGACAAUGGGCGAAAGCCUGAUCCAGCAAUGCCGCGUGUGUGAAGAAGGCCUUCGGGUUGUAAAGCACUUUUGUCCGGAAAGAAAUCCUUGGCUCUAAUACAGUCGGGGGAUGACGGUACCGGAAGAAUAAGCACCGGCUAACUACGUGCCAGCAGCCGCGGUAAUACGUAGGGUGCAAGCGUUAAUCGGAAUUACUGGGCGUAAAGCGUGCGCAGGCGGUUUGCUAAGACCGAUGUGAAAUCCCCGGGCUCAACCUGGGAACUGCAUUGGUGACUGGCAGGCUAGAGUAUGGCAGAGGGGGGUAGAAUUCCACGUGUAGCAGUGAAAUGCGUAGAGAUGUGGAGGAAUACCGAUGGCGAAGGCAGCCCCCUGGGCCAAUACUGACGCUCAUGCACGAAAGCGUGGGGAGCAAACAGGAUUAGAUACCCUGGUAGUCCACGCCCUAAACGAUGUCAACUAGUUGUUGGGGAUUCAUUUCCUUAGUAACGUAGCUAACGCGUGAAGUUGACCGCCUGGGGAGUACGGUCGCAAGAUUAAACUCAAAUGAAUUGACGGGGUCAUAGCUGUUUCC